Non-coding RNA from Cyanistes caeruleus (blue tit), 4264 nucleotides. NCBI's taxonomy places the organism in Eukaryota, Metazoa, Chordata, Aves, Passeriformes, Paridae. The record is from RefSeq and is a predicted model, not a curated record.
CAGGGUGGUGGUCACAGCACCAAGCCUGACAGUUCAAGAAGUGUUUGGACAAAACUUUUAGGGUAUGACUCUUGGGCUGCCCUGUGCAGGGCCAAGAGUUGGAGUCAAUGGUCCUUGCGGGUCCCUCCUAACUUAGGAUAUUUUAUGAUUCCACAAUAAAAAUUUUGGGGGCCUUAAUUUAAAAUGCAGUUGGAUUAUACAGCAGAGUUAAAGAAGUGAAACAAAACCACCAAACUUCAGGAUAGGGGUAAAGAUUUCACAAUAAUGGGGGAAAACAGCUUAGUAUGAAGUGGAGGGUCAAGAAAGAUCUGAUUAAUCACAGCCACAUGUAGAUCUGACUAGCUGCUAGCAUUAAAUAAGCCUGUAAAAUAAUAACUUCCUCGACUUUCCUAAAACAUCUAACUAAACCAGAUUGUUGAGUAAGUACAGAAGCUACUGAGGUGAACUUUUCAAAAAUAUCAACUGGAAAGAAGCUUUGUGUAGGACUUACUGGAACAAAGCAAUACCUGAUAGCUUCAGCUUCCUAAUAUUCCUUGUACUGAGGCAUGGAGAACUUGAGUGGAUAUCUGAGGGCAGAGCAGCUUCAGCAGAAGGGUGUGAGAGCUCCCCUUCUCCAGGGCAGAGCAGCCCAGAGACCACACUGCAGAACUGUGGCAACAUGGACGUGAAGCUCCUGAAAAAGAAGGUGUUGUGACCUUUCUUUGAUACCACAACCACUGUGUGCAGUUACAGGAACAUCACAGCUACUGGAAUGGGGGUCAUGCUACAGAUAAAUUAGAAGUCCUUCUGUUAACAAGAUGAAUACUGUUGUGCACUGCCUGUCCCAAAACUACUGCUAAGGGAUCUGUACAUUUGUAAUUUUCACAGACUACUUGAAAACCAAGGGAUAAGAACCAAAAGCAUAAGAGCUUUUCUCAGUGUAUUCUCCUCCAUCUACAGAACAGGUAGCUGCCAGGUGCUGUUGGAAAUGCUUGCUCAGAGCUCCAGGAUGUGUGACUGGCUGUGAGGGCAUACAUUAAUGGGAGAAGGGUAGACUUCUUGUGGAGAAAGAGCUUCACUCUAUAGGACAGUUCACUCCAGAAGUGGACAAGCAAGUGAACAAACAGCUUCAAACAAACAAUGGUACAUCAUCAUGAUUGCCACUUAAACGUGAGAAAAGCAGUUUUUCUGCAAGUGUUUCAACCGUUAAGCAAUUUCCACCUGCAGAUGUGCCCAGGCACUGUUCAUCAUGACCGGGAGAUUAUAGGUUUUCAAACCAAACACUGGAUUGUUUGCUCUGUUAUAUCUAGAUUGGAGACAGAUCAAAAGCAAGGUGGACUUUGAAUGGGUAUUAAGAUAUAAAAAUUUCAAGUUUUGUUUCACUCUUCAAUGUGUUCUAAAUAUUUCUGAAGAGUUUUCCGACAAGAUUUGCAAUAUCAUAACUUGGGAGGAAGCCUAGUUUCUGUAAAGCUGUCCCUGGCUUUUGCUGGGCUAAAGGCAAACCAAGCUAUAAUGUGCCAAAACUACUCUGCCUUUGAACCCAAAGCUGAUUAUCUUGUAACUGAGGCCAAAAUAAGGGAAAGGGGACUAGAGAGGCUUAAGCAUUGAAAACUUGGUUCAAGUUCUUCUGCUGCUACAGUCUUAAUUUGUAACAAUUAAAUGUGAUUUCUAUUUCUGAUUUUGUUUUUGCAUUUGUAGAAACAAAAAAAAAUUCUUACUGUCUUGACACCAGAUAAAAUCUACCAAGGAUCAUGACAUACCCAAAUGCCAUGUACUGAAGGCCUACAUUUGUACGCUUUCAUCUACUUCACUGCCCCUGAGAAAAACAGUGACUUUAAUUACUGUCAUUUUACUAAUAUUAUUUGGGUUCCAAAAUUAGCUGUUGACUUUGUGCAGCACCAUAUUUAGUUAGAAGUGAUACUUCCCUUCAAUGCAGAGAAAUCAAAAGCACAAGUUCUCCUUUUCAACUCACUUUCCUCUUUAUAAUGUGUCACAGCACAAACAUUGUGUGUGAAAAAGAGAACUAAAUCAGGCCGUGCAUUUUUACUGUUUGGUGCUCCUUAUGUAGCUAUUGCUUAGCAGUUUCCAUAGCUAAGGCUUGUCUUUUCUUUUGGAUCUUGAGAACACUACCAUGACAAUCCCUAAGAGAGAUACAGCUGCUAUGAAACAUCUGUCUUGUCUACAAAAGCUGCAUGUGAGUUAAAGAGAAUCUAUAGAACAGGAAGGGAAGUCGUGCAGUAAAAUGAAGUAGUGAACUGCUGAUGUCUAUAUAUUGUACAGCUUGAAUCAUUAUAAUCAGAAAAUAGGGAAAUUUUUUAAAUAGACUUUCCAGUCUAUGAGAAAUCGCUCAACCAGCAGUACCUCAAAGACCUUCACCCUGGAUAGAAGGAAUCCCAAACAAAAAUUCUGCUAUGGAAACCAAUUUUUGGCCAGAGAGGCCAAAGACAGUAGAUGACUGGAAAACCAGAGCUCAGAUACAGAGCCAACAUUAAAUGUUUUUUCAAGGAAGCACAGUUUCUUGUUCAUAAUACAGUAUUGAAAUCUGCAGGGACUUUGUAGCAAUGUAGCAUUAGAGAACAUGGCACUCAGUGAAUAAACACCAGCUCCAUUCCUGAGCUGUGCAAAGCAGAACUGCAGGAACAUGAUUUGGGUAAGUCUCAGGAUCCUUUGGUUACCAAUGUUGUGCCUUCCAUCAUGCAUACACACUCACACAGGAUUUCCUCAGCAGCUCCACCAAGGCUUGCAGCUCUUAAUGCAAAUCUUUCUCUGUCUAUUAUGAAGCUAACUUCCUGUAGGAAAGUAAAACUGUGAUAUUUUGGAAGAUAUUCUGAACAUAAAAGCUCAGUUUUUUAGAUUUCAGGGAUGGGGGUUUCUCUCUAAAUCUUGUUUUAAAAGCCAUCUGAUCAAACCUUUUCAUUACUUGCUCACUUCAGAAACUAGCUGUGCUUCAAAGUCCUCCAGCAUCCUUCCACACCUACAUUUCUAGUAUCACCUACCAUAUUUCUUCCUAAAUGCUAUGACAAGCCUCAGUAAUGCAGUAUGAAACACUGCAGGUGAGACACACCAAAAUAACACACUGAAAUGCUGCUGGUCACACCUGCAGCUUACUCAGAAGGUCAUUUUUUAAGUGAAGUUAGGAAUUCAAAAGGUUCAGAAUUUCCAGUCUAGUAGAUUCAAAGACAGAUUAUGGCCUCAAAUAUUUGUGGUCAUUCAGAAUCUCAGCAGUCUUUGCACAAGCAUUCUCAGAGAGCUGAUGGACCAAGACUCUCCAAAAGGAGAGAAAGACUGAACAUACAGACUAAUUUGCAUGAGAAGUGAGGGAAUCUUUUAACUAAUAGAAGAUAGAGUACUAAUCAAUAUGAAAGCUAUGUAACUUGUAGCCAAUGAACAUUCAUGCCUUUUUUUGCCACAAUGGUUUUGUGAAAUUGCCACCCAGCCUCCCUUUCUGUGCAGAACUGUAAAUAAAUCAAAUACCUUGACUCUGUGUGGGGAUUGGCCUCUCUCACACUGGAUGAAAAAGAAACAUUUUGGGACAGCAAAGGCAUGGAUGAAAAUACAGGAGGAAAUCCUCAGGAUACAAAUUAAGAUAGCUCAUGUGAGGGCAAAAUACUGACCUAUAUCAUCACACACAUUCAAAUUAAGGCAAAUAAUUCAUAUUUUAAAUGUAGAAAACAAUAGAAAGUGGCCUGGUAUCAUUUAUUCUGGUGUUUCCAAUACACUGAGCAUGUUCUGUCUCCUCCUUUGGCAGUAGGAUAGUGUCCCAGUCAACAUCAAAGCAAAGAAGCUGAUGGUCACCUGAAAAGCUUAGGUAGUUCUCAGCUGUCUCACAGCCUCUUCUUUUCCAGUCUGCUUUUCUCUCAAAGCCCACCUUUAUAGACUGCUCCACUAGAUAAACUAUGAUUUGCACCCUUCUGCUCUUUCCAAGCAGCUAUGAGUAUUGUACAAAAAGUGGACAACCAGUCUUUGCUGCAGUCAUGAACUAGAAUUACAGUAAUAAGCUGAACCCUUGUUCCCCAGACUUUUGUUCUUGAUGUGUCUAGGGAUUGCCUCAUGGAUUUCAGCUUCAGAAGCUGGUAGAGAUCUGCCUGCAGGGCUGCUGAGCUGAAGGAGUUUAUCCCUUGAGGGGCUGUGCUACGCAUUGGAAUAGAGCUAACAAAUAACCAUGUGAAAUUUUGUACAGAUUUAUUAUGCAGUGAUUGUUUUGUUGUCUCCGAUUAAAACAGAGAACUGAAAUACAGAAUCUGUAUUUGUGAAGCCUUUCAUUAUCUUCUGUUCUGAGUGUUGU